RNAcentral lists this ribosomal RNA (504 nucleotides) under uncultured bacterium. RNAcentral describes it as "partial 16S ribosomal RNA". It matches the Rfam family "Bacterial small subunit ribosomal RNA", at positions 30 to 523 of the family's 1533-position model. The record is from RNAcentral.
AUUGAACGCUGGCGGCAGGCCUAACACAUGCAAGUCGAACGGUAGCACAGAGAGCUUGCUCUCGGGUGACGAGUGGCGGACGGGUGAGUAACGUCUGGGAAACUGCCCGGUGGAGGGGGAUAACUACUGGAAACGGUAGCUAAUACCGCAUAACGUCGCAAGACCAAAGUGGGGGACCUUCGGGCCUCACACCAUCGGAUGUGCCCAGAUGGGAUUAGCUAGUAGGUGGGGUAACGGCUCACCUAGGCGACGAUCCCUAGCUGGUCUGAGAGGAUGAACAGCCCAACUGGAACUGAGACACGGUCCAGACUCCUACGGGAGGCAGCAGUGGGGAAUAUUGCACAAGGGGCGAAAGCCUGAUGCAUCCAUGCCGCGUGUAUGAAGAAGGCCUUCGGGUUGUAAAGUACUUUCAGCGAGGAGGAAGGUGUUGAGGUUAAUAACCUCAGCAAUUGACGUUACUCGCAGAAGAAGCACCGGCUAACUCCGUGCCAGCAGCCGCCGUAA